RNAcentral lists this long non-coding RNA (1979 nucleotides) under Lupinus angustifolius (narrow-leaved blue lupine). RNAcentral's name for it is "long non-coding RNA (LANG_LNC003213)". The record is from RNAcentral. Lineage: Eukaryota; Viridiplantae; Streptophyta; Magnoliopsida; Fabales; Fabaceae.
GUUCUUCUAUCUUCCCAUACCGUGUUGUGCAGAGUCGAUCGAGGAUUCUGGUGGUGUUGGAGAUGGCAAAACCUAUAAUAUAGAGUCGUUUCGGUAGUUUUCUGAAACACAAUGUUGUUAUUCUCGCAUCUCGGGUUUUUUGUUUCUUAAUAACCUCAUUUUUUCAAGUUUUUUUAUAUUUGAUUUCAUGUGUGUUUUGUUCUUAGGAUUCGUAUCUAUUCUACUAUUGCUAUUUUCCUCUGCUCAACAAUGUCAAACCGUUCAUGUUCCUCACCAAUGUUCAAUGCCAUUUCACCAUUGUUCAACAUUUUGACUCCCUCACGUUCUUCCUCUGUUCAACUGACUUAAAUUGAAGUGUUCUUCUCAGGUUUUUUUUAAUCUAAUUGUGAACAUAAAUCUCUAGUUUAUGUGUUCUCAUUUAUUUUCCACUCCUUUUAUAUGCAUAAAAAUAAACCAAUAGUUGUUAAUUCAUAGUUUGAGUAUAACCAUGAUAUAUGUCAAGAUGAAUAAUUUUUCCCAUCAUAAAGCUGGAGAUUGAGCAUUUAGUUGGUAUGACUUUCUUGUGCAUUGAAAUGGUGUUGAUAGAUAUUGUAGUAAUUAUGACGUUGAAGCACUUUUUAGGUGUUUUUCUAAUCUAUUUUGAGUAUUAGUUUUAUUCUCAUGUCUCUCCUACUGUUUUUCUACUCUACUUUGAUGUAAGAAGCACAUUUUAGGUGUUUCUUGUGCAUUGAAUCUCUCUAUUAUGAAUUGAUCUACUCAUAGUCUAUUGCAUAUUGCCUUGCCCAUAAUUUCACAAAUGGACCAAUGCUUUGGAUGAUAAUGAACCAAGGUUGUCAUAUCUUAAUGAGUUUGUUUCAAUUUUAUAUCCUUGCCAUAACUUCAGUAGUAACAUUUUAAAUAUAUUUGUGUGUGCAGCAUGAGUGCAAGUCCUAGAUCUUUCCCAUAUACUUAUUUAUUGCUUCACUUCACAUUGGUGGUGGUGGCUAGAUUCAAUGUUAAAUCCUCUCUACGAAUAUUUCAAUUUUGCUACAUUAUAUAGAAUUCAUGUUAAAAUUCAUCUCAUAAAAGACACAUUUCUUCCCUUUUUCUCCCUUGUUUCACCACUCUAAAGGAUAAUGCUUCUUCUUAUGAUCUCUCUCAAAUUGAGCAUGGUGAUGGAUACAUAUGUGGAAUCAGUAUGUAUAUGCUUGCAUAUAUUAUAGUAUAUGAUAGUUGUUCUUCCAUUUUUCUCCCUUGUUUCGCCACUCUAAAGGAUAAUGCUCCUUGUUAUGUUCUUUUUUAUUGCUCCUUGUACAGUACAAGUCUUUAAUGAUCUUUGCAUAAUCAAUAGCUUUUGAAGAACCGUUCCCCUAAUCAAGAUUACUAGAUGCAUUAAGUUCAAUGAAAUUCAAUUAGUCAAAUCCUCCUCAAGUUAAUGGAGUACAAAUAUUGGUUAUUCACUGCAUUCACUUCUCUUUAUUUGGAGGCACUUGACCUGAAGAAUUGAAUUGACUAUGAUUCGUUUUUUUCCUCGAGCUAAUGUUUCCUCUUUUAACAGAAGUCUAAGAAACUGUGGUUUGCCAGAAGCUUUUCCAGAUUUCAAUUCAAUACCCGAGCUUAUUGGUAUGAUUUAACAUCAUUCUCAUUAAUUGGUUGAGUUCUUCUCAGUGGAGAUAGUGGUAGUUCAGCUGCUCCAAUAUUUAUGUGUAUUCUUUUGUAUUGCUAGGUGCCUCCUGCAGAACUUCAAGACCUUGUUGUGAAGAAGUUGUUAAGGAGUUUAUAGCUAAAUUAUUAUGGCGGUUUGAAAUUUGUGUUGUUUAGGUGUAAUUGGUUAGGGAAAGAAAAGCUUCUAAGAGUUUAUAGCUCUACAUGUUGAAUGUAAUGUUUGACAUGAAAAUGUAUGUUAAAAGAAUUUUGUGUAAUAUAAUGAUAACAAUGUUCUUAAAUAGCUGAAUAAAUAAAUGUUGUCUUUUGAUAACAAAAAAUAUAUAUUGUAAGAG